UGGCUCUGGCAUCGAUGAAGAACGCAGCGAAAUGCGAUAAGUAAUGUGAAUUGCAGAAUUCAGUGAAUCAUCGAAUCUUUGAACGCACAUUGCGCCCGCCAGUAUUCUGGCGGGCAUGCCUGUCCGAGCGUCAUUACAACCCUCAGGCCCAGCCUGGUGUUGGGGAUCGGCCGAGCCCUCCAGGGCAGACGCCGUCCCCCAAAUUCAGUGGCGGUCUCGCUGCAGCCUCCAUUGCGUAGUAGCUAACACCUCGCAACUGGAACGCGGCGCGGCCAUGCCGUAAAACCCCCAACUUCUGAAUGUUGACCUCGGAUCAGGUAGGAAUACCCGCUGA
This 334-nucleotide unclassified non-coding RNA is filed under the name uncultured fungus. Its description in RNAcentral is "partial contains 5.8S ribosomal RNA and internal transcribed spacer 2". The stretch from base 1 to 133 matches the Rfam family "5.8S ribosomal RNA", at positions 22 to 154 of the family's 154-position model. Lineage: Eukaryota; Fungi. The record is from RNAcentral.